Non-coding RNA from Steinernema glaseri, 84 nucleotides. Lineage: Eukaryota; Metazoa; Nematoda; Chromadorea; Rhabditida; Steinernematidae. The record is from Rfam.
CCAACCAUAGCUCAGUUGGUAGAGCGGAGGACUGUAGUGUUGGCGGAGAUCCUUAGGUCGCUGGUUCGAAUCCGGCUAGUUGGA